RNAcentral lists this ribosomal RNA (490 nucleotides) under uncultured bacterium. Its description in RNAcentral is "partial 16S ribosomal RNA". It matches the Rfam family "Bacterial small subunit ribosomal RNA", at positions 30 to 507 of the family's 1533-position model. The record is from RNAcentral.
AUUGAACGCUGGCGGCAGGCCUAACACAUGCAAGUCGAACGGUAACAGGAAUCAGCUUGCUGAUUUGCUGACGAGUGGCGGACGGGUGAGUCAUGUCUGGGAAACUGCCUGAUGGAGGGGGAUAACUACUGGAAACGGUAGCUAAUACCGCAUAACGUCGCAAGACCAAAGAGGGGGACCUUCGGGCCUCUUGCCAUCGGAUGUGCCCAGAUGGGAUUAGCUAGUAGGUGGGGUAAAGGCUCACCUAGGCGACGAUCCCUAGCUGGUCUGAGAGGAUGACCAGCCACACUGGAACUGAGACACGGUCCAGACUCCUACGGGAGGCAGCAGUGGGGAAUAUUGCACAAUGGGCGCAAGCCUGAUGCAGCCAUGCCGCGUGUAUGAAGAAGGCCUUCGGGUUGUAAAGUACUUUCAGCGGGGAGGAAGGGAGUAAAGUUAAUACCUUUGCUCAUUGACGUUACCCGCAGAAGAAGCACCGGCUAACUCCGUG